GCCCGGGUGGCGGAAUUGGUAGACGCGUUGGACUUAAAAUCCAAUGAGCAUUGCGCUCGUGCCGGUUCGAUCCCGGCUCCGGGUACCA
RNAcentral lists this transfer RNA (88 nucleotides) under Bacteroidales bacterium. RNAcentral describes it as "tRNA-Leu". It matches the Rfam family "tRNA". Rfam says of the family: Transfer RNA (tRNA) molecules are approximately 80 nucleotides in length. Lineage: Bacteria; Pseudomonadati; Bacteroidota; Bacteroidia; Bacteroidales. The record is from RNAcentral.